Molecule: ribosomal RNA, 394 nt
Filed under: uncultured bacterium
Lineage: Bacteria
Description: bacterial SSU rRNA
Rfam family: Bacterial small subunit ribosomal RNA
Source: RNAcentral
AAUCAACGCUGGCGGCGUGCCUCAGACAUGCGAGUCGAACGAUUAAAGCUCUCUUCGGAGAGUGCAUAGAGUGGCGCACGGGUGAGUAACACGUAAGUAAUCUACCCUCGAGUGGGGAAUAACGUCCGGAAACGGACGCUAAUACCGCAUAAUGCAGCGGCACCGCAAGGUGACAGUUGUUAAAGAUUUAUCGCUUGAGGAGGAGCUUGCGGCAGAUUAGCUAGUUGGUAAGGUAAUGGCUUACCAAGGCUACGAUCUGUAACCGGUCUUAGAGGACGGUCGGUCACACUGACACUGAAUAACGGGUCAGACUCCUACGGGAGGCAGCAGUCGGGAAUUUUGGGCAAUGGGCGAAAGCCUGACCCAGCAACGCCGCGUGAAGGAUGAAGUAUUU